UUUCAGAGUGAAGGUGAACAGCCAGUUGUGGUCAAAAGAAGAAGAAAAUGACAUGCAAAGUAUCGCUCCAGAGAUGCAAAGUAAUUAGGAGGAUCUGUUCCAUGAUACUCCUGGGCACAGCUGGGAUUCAGUGUUCUCCAGUUCCACAAGUCUUCCUUUCUACCCGUCUUAAAAAUAUCUCUUGUUCCUUCUGCCAUCAGGAGUGACUAGAGUGUUCUGGAUCUCAUAAACCUUUCUAUUGCAAAAACUUCCUCAAAAUCAAUACUUCAUUGCGGAAGAUGCUUUUGCAGGCGGUCCUAUAUUCUUCUGGAUAUUUUUAAAGUAAUGGGAAAAAAAAGUUAAGACUUCCAUUUAUUUGAACUGGUACAUGAAGGUUUCACACACUGAUAAUGUUUUAAUAGAGUUGUUCUGGUACUUGCCCGAGAUACUAGUGACAUUAUUUGGAAAGCUAAGUUUAUAUUCUGACUAACUUGAAAAUGGGAUAUUGCUGAAAGUUCUCCUAUCUAAUGAAGUAAAAGAGAGAAAUGGGACAAUAAUUCCUGAAAAUUACAAAUGAAAUACAGAAA
Non-coding RNA from Coturnix japonica (Japanese quail), 566 nucleotides. The record is from RefSeq and is a predicted model, not a curated record. NCBI's taxonomy places the organism in Eukaryota, Metazoa, Chordata, Aves, Galliformes, Phasianidae.